CCGGGCAGUGUCCGACUGGAGAGAACCUCGCUUCCCGGCGUUCGGACGGCAUGGGCAGGAAAGGGACCCCCUCAAACCCUGCCGAUCCAGAGGACAACUGUUGACUGGAGCUGUGGGGCUGUCUUGAUCUUCACAGUGGGACCUUCUCUAGUAACUCCAUUGUUCCUGCUCCUUCUUUAUCUUUGCCACCCUCACCCUGAAGUAAGGGGACCUAAAGGUUUG
Ficedula albicollis (Collared flycatcher) is the source of this 222-nucleotide long non-coding RNA. RefSeq lists it as uncharacterized. NCBI's taxonomy places the organism in Eukaryota, Metazoa, Chordata, Aves, Passeriformes, Muscicapidae. The transcript has 3 exons. The record is from RefSeq and is a predicted model, not a curated record.